GAUGAACGCUGGCGGCGUGCCUAAUACAUGCAAGUCGAGCGAACAGACGAGGAGCUUGCUCCGCGCACGUUAGCGGCGGACGGGUGAGUAACACGUGUAUAACCUACCUAUAAGACGGGGAUAACUACGGGAAACCGGAUCUAAUACCAGAUAAUAUAUUGAACCGCAGGGUGCAAUAGUGAGAUACGGUGUUGCGGGAACUAAUAGCGGGAUCCGCGCCGCAUUGGCUGGUUGGUAAGUUAACGGCUUACCAAGGCGACUAGGCGUGGCCGACCUGAGGGGGUGGUCGGCCACCCUGGAACGUGGCCACGCUCCUGACGCCUACGGGAGGCCGCAGUAGGGAACCGUCCGCAAUAGGCGGGAGCCUGACGGAGCGAGGCCGCGUGAGUGAUGAAGGUCUUCGGAUCGUAAAGCCCUGUUAUUAGUGAAGAACCACUUUGGCAGUAAAUAUGCCCGUAUUGACGGUACCUAAUCAGAAAGCCCCGGCUAACUACGUG
This 497-nucleotide ribosomal RNA is filed under the name uncultured bacterium. RNAcentral describes it as "partial 16S ribosomal RNA". It matches the Rfam family "Bacterial small subunit ribosomal RNA", at positions 28 to 507 of the family's 1533-position model. The record is from RNAcentral.